RNAcentral lists this ribosomal RNA (318 nucleotides) under Latrodectus hesperus (western black widow). Its description in RNAcentral is "partial 12S ribosomal RNA". The record is from RNAcentral. Lineage: Eukaryota; Metazoa; Arthropoda; Arachnida; Araneae; Theridiidae.
AGGUAGUAAAACAUUUUAUUAAAACCUAUAUAACUUAAUGGCGGCAUUUUCUAUUCUAGAGGAACUUGUUUUCUAAUCGACAUUCCACGAUAUCUUCUCACUUUUUUUCAAAGCUUAUAUACCGCCGUCUUAAGGAUAAAUUAUAAAAUAUUUUCCUAAAGAUUUUUAUAGAAAGUUAGGUAAAGGUGUAGUCUAUAAAAAAGAAAAAAUGAGUUACAUUAAAAAUUAUUUAAAGAAGAUAAAUUAAAUUUUUUCGGAAAUAGGAUUUAGAAGUAAAAGAGAAAAAUUAUUUCUCUUUGAAAUAAAUUGAAUAUGUGC